This is a non-coding RNA of Camelina sativa (false flax), 125 nucleotides long. The record is from RefSeq and is a predicted model, not a curated record. Lineage: Eukaryota; Viridiplantae; Streptophyta; Magnoliopsida; Brassicales; Brassicaceae.
GCGUGGCUGUAGUCCCCAACUGUACUGAAUCAUUUUGCUCGGUCCUCAAGGCACUGUUUCCAUUUGUCUACAACGACCUCGUUCAAGAUCAUGCUGGUCCAAGUGGUUUUGUCAAAGUCCCUACU